UACGUAGGUGGCGAGCGUUAUCCGGAUUUACUGGGCGUAAAGGGAGCGUAGGCGGGCUUUUAAGUGAGAUGUGAAAUACUCGGGCUCAACUUGAGUGCUGCAUUUCAAACUGGAAGUCUAGAGUGCAGGAGAGGAGAAUGGAAUUCCUAGUGUAGCGGUGAAAUGCGUAGAGAUUAGGAAGAACACCAGUGGCGAAGGCGAUUCUCUGGACUGUAACUGACGCUGAGGCUCGAAAGCGUGGGGAGCAAACAGG
This 253-nucleotide ribosomal RNA is filed under the name uncultured bacterium. RNAcentral's name for it is "partial 16S ribosomal RNA". It matches the Rfam family "Bacterial small subunit ribosomal RNA", at positions 524 to 776 of the family's 1533-position model. The record is from RNAcentral.